AACACGACUCUCGGCAAUGGAUAUCUCGGCUCUCGCAUCGAUGAAGAGCGCAGCGAAAUGCGAUACGUGGUGCGAAUUGCAGAAUCCCGUGAAC
RNAcentral lists this ribosomal RNA (94 nucleotides) under Dichaea richii. RNAcentral's name for it is "5.8S ribosomal RNA". It matches the Rfam family "5.8S ribosomal RNA", at positions 1 to 89 of the family's 154-position model. From Rfam's summary of the family: 5.8S ribosomal RNA (5.8S rRNA) is a component of the large subunit of the eukaryotic ribosome. The record is from RNAcentral. Lineage: Eukaryota; Viridiplantae; Streptophyta; Magnoliopsida; Asparagales; Orchidaceae. RNAcentral also lists the same sequence under 1 other name.